Molecule: RNA transcript, 852 nt
Organism: Sinocyclocheilus grahami
Lineage: Eukaryota; Metazoa; Chordata; Actinopteri; Cypriniformes; Cyprinidae
Gene name: autism susceptibility gene 2 protein-like
Exons: 2
Source: RefSeq, a predicted model, not a curated record
UCCUCCUGGUCGCUCCGUCUCCUGUUUGCACUCUUUCAGGACUCCUCUGCCAGUAGCGCUCAUUGAGCAUCGUACACGCACCGUCUGUCCGGUGAAGCUGAGCGGAGGAAGCACGUUCUGUGUGUGUGCGGCAGAAACAAGCAGGGGGUAGAAGCUGAAUGAAGUCAGGUUAGAAUCAGGAAGUGGGAGGACCCGGUCGCGCCGUGGGUGAAUGCGAGAGUUUGUGUGGAUACAGGCAGCACUCACGCGAGGGACGGGAGCCAGCGACAGGACCCGAGCUUCAGACCAGCGACGAUUUCGAGGAAAGGAAGCGGCGGUUUUAGUGCGGCUUUACUCCACCCAAUCUGCCUAUAGGAGGAAAAUACUGUAUGCUUUGUUGGAUUUUCUUGCUCUGCACGAGCGCACGGGAGACAGGCGCGCGGAUGGUUUGUCACUGAGCGCGCCUCUGACACAAAAGAGCGCAGAAGUCCGCGUCCGUUAAGCGACGGUUGGCGAGGAUUUCAAACGGCCGUUUCGCGCGAAGAGGACGAGCUGAAGGAUUUCUCCACUUCUCUGCGCCCUUGGGUACCAGACACAUGGCUGCUUUUGUUUGAGAGCCUCUCUCGCUUUGAGCUCUGGAUGGUUUUCUUCUUCCUCUUCUUAUUUUGCAUGGCUGUCAUUCUGUCAAAGGGAGCUAGAGGAAUUCGCCGCUUGUUUGUGGAUUACAUUGUUUGACCAGCAGAAUGUGAAACGGCGUAUUUAUCGAAACCUGAAAGUGAUUUCUUGACUUAUUUUCCUCUGUGCCAACCUCGCCACAUCAAAAGGGCUCCGAUGCCAGCUCAGAGAAACUAUUCAGCACAGCUGCUGUUAAAG